AAUAUUUCGCAACGGAGGGAACUCUGACGCAGCGACGCCGCGUGAGCGAUGAAGGUCUUCGUACCGCAUAGCUCUGUCCUUGGGGAAGAAGGUCUUCGGACUUGACGGUACCUAAGGAGGAAGCCCCGUCUACCUACGUGCCAGCAGCCGCGGUAAUACGUAGGGGGCAAGCGUUGUCCGGAAUUACUGGGCGUAAAGCGUGCGCAGGCGGUUCGGCAAGAAGGAUGUGAAAUCCCAGGGCUUAACCUUGGAACUGCAUUCUUAACUGCCGGGCUAGAGUAUGUCAGAGGGGGGUAGAAUUCCGCGUGUAGCAGUGAAAUGCGUAGAGAUGCGGAGGAAUACCGAUGGCGAAGGCAGCCCCCUGGGAUAAUACUGACGCUCAUGCACGAAAGCGUGGGGAGCAAAC
RNAcentral lists this ribosomal RNA (406 nucleotides) under uncultured bacterium. RNAcentral's name for it is "partial 16S ribosomal RNA". It matches the Rfam family "Bacterial small subunit ribosomal RNA", at positions 360 to 773 of the family's 1533-position model. The record is from RNAcentral.